Paramuricea clavata is the source of this 446-nucleotide non-coding RNA. The record is from the annotation of a GenBank genome assembly. NCBI's taxonomy places the organism in Eukaryota, Metazoa, Cnidaria, Anthozoa, Malacalcyonacea, Plexauridae.
UUGUUUCUCCACUGGGUUGCUUGUUAGAGCUAUCAAACACUGGUUUGUAGUGGCAACAGGGAAGACUGUCAUAAUCUUGUUCUGGUCGAGGAACCCUGUCCAUCUUCGGACCAACCCAACUGUGCUAUAAUUGAGAAAUAUGUAUGCAAGCCCCCCUCCAUCAUUAAAAAAACUUACAUCUCCCCUAAAAUAUUUGCUCAGAAAUGUCUACGCUCCGCACACAUUUCAUACCUCCCCCCCUGUAUUAAUAAUGAACGGUCCCUAGAAAUAAUUAUGGUUUAAAUUUGUACUUUCUAAUUCACUUCAUUGUUUUAACUUACAGUAAAAAUGUACUGUAUAUAAGAGAUUUUGGAAAAUAAAUAUGUUUAGAUAAAAAAUGGUUGCUCAAGUGAUUGAUUUAGUAAUACAUAAUAAUUUACAAACUAUUUACAAUUUCAUUUACAAAC